RNAcentral lists this ribosomal RNA (506 nucleotides) under uncultured bacterium. RNAcentral's name for it is "partial 16S ribosomal RNA". It matches the Rfam family "Bacterial small subunit ribosomal RNA", at positions 30 to 523 of the family's 1533-position model. The record is from RNAcentral.
AUUGAACGCUGGCGGCAGGCUUAACACAUGCAAGUCGAGCGGUAACAGAGAGAAGCUUGCUUCUCUGCUGACGAGCGGCGGACGGGUGAGUAAUGCCUAGGAAUCUGCCUAGUAGUGGGGGAUAACCUGCCGAAAGGUAAGCUAAUACCGCAUACGUCCUACGGGAGAAAGGAGGGGACCUUCGGGCCUUUCGCUAUUAGAUGAGCCUAGGUCGGAUUAGUUAGUUGGUGAGGUAAUGGCUCACCAAGACCGCGAUCCGUAACUGGUCUGAGGGGAUGAUCAGUCACGCUGGAACUGAGACACGGUCCAGACUCCUACGGGAGGCAGCAGUGGGGAAUAUUGGACAAUGGGGGGAACCCUGAUCCAGCCAUGCCGCGUGUGUGAAGAAGGUCUUAGGAUUGUAAAGCACUUUAAGUUGGGAGGAAGAGCAGUUAACUAAUAUUUGACUGUUUUGACGUUACCGACAGAAUAAGCACCGGCUAACUUCGUGCCAGCCGCCGCAGUAA